RNAcentral lists this ribosomal RNA (465 nucleotides) under Vreelandella stevensii. RNAcentral describes it as "partial 16S ribosomal RNA". It matches the Rfam family "Bacterial small subunit ribosomal RNA", at positions 338 to 795 of the family's 1533-position model. The record is from RNAcentral. Lineage: Bacteria; Pseudomonadati; Pseudomonadota; Gammaproteobacteria; Oceanospirillales; Halomonadaceae.
CCUACGGGGGGCAGCAGUGGGGAAUAUUGGACAAUGGGGGGAACCCUGAUCCAGCCAUGCCGCGUGUGUGAAGAAGGCCCUCGGGUUGUAAAGCACUUUCAGUGAGGAAGAACGCCUGGUGGUUAAUACCCAUCAGGAAAGACAUCACUCACAGAAGAAGCACCGGCUAACUCCGUGCCAGCAGCCGCGGUAAUACGGAGGGUGCGAGCGUUAAUCGGAAUUACUGGGCGUAAAGCGCGCGUAGGUGGCUUGAUAAGCCGGUUGUGAAAGCCCCGGGCUCAACCUGGGAACGGCAUCCGGAACUGUCAAGCUAGAGUGCAGGAGAGGAAGGUAGAAUUCCGGGUGUAGCGGUGAAAUGCGUAGAGAUCGGGAGGAAUACCAGUGGCGAAGGCGGCCUUCUGGACUGACACUGACACUGAGGUGCGAAAGCGUGGGUAGCAAACAGGAUUAGAUACCCUAGUAGUC